CCGAGUUGUAAUUUGUAGAGGAUGCUUUUAGGCAGCCACCGGUCUAAGUUCCUUGGAACAGGACGUCAUAGAGGGUGAGAAUCCCGUAUGUGACCGGAAAGGCACCUUCUGUAAAGCUCCUUCGACGAGUCGAGUUGUUUGGGAAUGCAGCUCUAAAUGGGAGGUAAAUUUCUUCUAAAGCUAAAUACCGGCGAGAGACCGAUAGCGCACAAGUAGAGUGAUCGAAAGAUGAAAAGCACUUUGGAAAGAGAGUUAAAAAGCACGUGAAAUUGUUGAAAGGGAAGCGCUUGCAAUCAGACUUGUCCUUGAGUGUUCCGCCGGUCUUCUGACCGGUCUACUCAUUCUUGGACAGGCCAGCAUCACUUUCGGCGGCCGGAUAA
This 380-nucleotide ribosomal RNA is filed under the name Dothideomycetes sp. 2324 RO-2014. RNAcentral describes it as "LSU rRNA". It matches the Rfam family "Eukaryotic large subunit ribosomal RNA", at positions 138 to 522 of the family's 3401-position model. The record is from RNAcentral. Lineage: Eukaryota; Fungi; Ascomycota; Dothideomycetes.